Molecule: unclassified non-coding RNA, 1290 nt
Filed under: Hevea brasiliensis (rubber tree)
Lineage: Eukaryota; Viridiplantae; Streptophyta; Magnoliopsida; Malpighiales; Euphorbiaceae
Source: RNAcentral
AAAACUUGAAUACAGAGUGAUUCAGCGCUAUACAAGAAAACCUUUUAAACAUGAAUCACUAUACACACCAGAAUAAUUUUUUCCCGCUUUAUUGGUCUUUCCAAUAUAUACAUGCCACUGGAAUGAUAAAAGUGACAACAAUCAACAGGGGCAACUAAUAAUAAUUAAAAGAAAAAUGUAGCAGAUGCCUUUAAUAGCUGGCAGUUGAUUCUACCUGUAGCCUUUCACACCGGCACAUCUGACAAGUCAGUAUUGGAUAGCAAAACUGCAUGGAAGUUCAGGCACAUCCAGCAAUGGUGAAGCAUCAUUUAGUCUUCAUUACUUACCCAAAUUGAGCAACAUUCUUUGGUACAUUGUCCUUAAAGCGUUUUGCUUGCACCAAUUGCUUGUGUGUCAAUCUCAUAAGAAGAGAGCAACCUUCGAUGAUCCUCAAAAUCAGGACUGGUCAGAUUGAUAGAGAGGUUUCUCAUCAACAACAGCACCGUUUCAACAUCUAUGGGGUCCAUUUUUUUAAGUUUCUGCAGAUGACCACUAGCAUUUGGGUCAAAUACACUGCCAAUAAAUUUGUAUACUUGAGCGAAGUCAGGCAGAACUCUCAAUGGAUGCCCAUGAUUCCCUAGCUCAGCUGAUUCCCCAAGUGGUUUUGUUCUAGGAGCACUCUCAGUGCUACUGCAACAAUUAUAUGCCACUUUUGUUUGAUUUGAUAAUCUGACAGCUGGCAAAUUAUUUUUCCGGGAAGCUGUAGCAGCACUAGCAAUUGGGUUCCUAGGCAUUGAUGCGGUAUCACGCCUUCGAACAAAUCCAGGUUCAAGGAGGGCAGACGAUGAUUGGAAGGAACCCGGAGGUUGUGAGAGCACUGGGGAAUUUUUAGUGGCUUUUUGAGGAUAUGGAUGAGCAGCUUUCCUUUUAGGCCUAGGAGGAGGCAGGUGUUCAUUGGUUCCACUCUUCUGAACCUUUAGAAAAUACUUCUGUGCAUGACUACGUAUCUGAAUAACUGUUUUUGACCCGAUAAAUGCUUCAAUCUUUUUCCAGUCGCGAUCAAAGAGUUGAAGAGCUUCAAGGAACUUGUCGUGUUCAGGUUCAGUCCAGCUCUCUCUGGACUUGGUGAUGGUGUAGGGUUUUCGGAUCUUCUUAGUCGGAUCCUCCGCUGAGGACGUGGUGGUAGAUGCUGUGACGAAGGGUCCCAGUCCUGGUAGGGCCAUUCCGUUCGGAUCCAAGUAGAAUCCGUCAGGCGGGUUAGGAUUUUUGGAGACCAUGCGAGAUAAUGAGAAUUGAGGCUAUAGCUUUGAA